UACGGGGGGAGCAAGCGUUGUUCGGAUUUACUGGGCGUAAAGGGCGCGUAGGCGGCCACCGCAAGUCGACUGUGAAAUCUCCGGGCUUAACUCGGAAAGGUCAGCCGAUACUGCGGGGCUAGAGUGCAGAAGGGGCAACUGGAAUUCUCGGUGUAGCGGUGAAAUGCGUAGAUAUCGAGAGGAACACCUGCGGCGAAGGCGGGUUGCUGGGCUGACACUGACGCGGAUUGUGCGAAAGCUAGGGGAGCGAACGGG
This 255-nucleotide ribosomal RNA is filed under the name uncultured bacterium. Its description in RNAcentral is "partial 16S ribosomal RNA". It matches the Rfam family "Bacterial small subunit ribosomal RNA", at positions 524 to 776 of the family's 1533-position model. The record is from RNAcentral.